This 283-nucleotide ribosomal RNA is filed under the name uncultured bacterium. RNAcentral's name for it is "partial 16S ribosomal RNA". It matches the Rfam family "Bacterial small subunit ribosomal RNA", at positions 123 to 406 of the family's 1533-position model. The record is from RNAcentral.
AACGUGCCCAGUCGUGGGGGAUAACGUAGAGAAAUUUACGCUAAUACCGCAUACGAUCUAAGGAUGAAAGCGGGGGACUCGCAAGAGCCUCGCGCGAUUGGAGCGGCUGAUAUCAGAUUAGCUUGUUGGUGAGGUAAAAGCUCACCAAGGCGACGAUCUGUAGCUGGUUUGAGAGAACGACCAGCCACACUGGGACUGAGACACGGCCCAGACUCCUACGGGAGGCAGCAGUGGGGAAUUUUGGACAAUGGGCGAAAGCCUGAUCCAGCAAUGCCGCGUGCAG